GAUGAAGAACGUAGCGAAAUGAGAUAAGUAAUGUGAAUUGCAGAAUUCAGUGAAUCAUCGAAUCUUUGAACGCACAUUGCGCCCUCUGGUAUUCCGGGGGGCAUGCCUGUUCGAGCGUCAUUAUAACCACUCAAGCUCUCGCUUGGUAUUGGGGCUCGCGGUUCCGCGGCCCCUAAAAUCAGUGGCGGUGCCUGUCGGCUCUACGCGUAGUAAUACUCCUCGCGAUUGAGUCCGGUAGGUCUACUUGCCAGCAACCCCCAAUUUUUACAGGUUGACCUCGGAUCAGGGAGGGAUACCCGCUGAACUUAAGCAUAUCAAUAAGCGGAGGA
RNAcentral lists this unclassified non-coding RNA (329 nucleotides) under soil metagenome. Its description in RNAcentral is "partial contains 5.8S ribosomal RNA, internal transcribed spacer 2, and large subunit ribosomal RNA". The stretch from base 1 to 120 matches the Rfam family "5.8S ribosomal RNA", at positions 35 to 154 of the family's 154-position model. The record is from RNAcentral.